RNAcentral lists this ribosomal RNA (379 nucleotides) under uncultured eukaryote. RNAcentral's name for it is "partial 18S ribosomal RNA". It matches the Rfam family "Eukaryotic small subunit ribosomal RNA", at positions 592 to 975 of the family's 1831-position model. The record is from RNAcentral.
CAAUAGCGUAUAUUAAGUUUGUUGCGGUUAAAAAGCUUGUAGUUGGGUGUCUGCCGAGGACGACCAGUCCGCCCUCUCGGUGAGUAUCUGGCUCGGCCUCUGCAUUUUCUUGGAUAACGUAGCUGCACUCGACUGUGUGGUGCGGUAUCCAGGACUCCUGCUUCGAGGAAAUCAGAGUGUCUCAAGCAGGCUUCCGCCCUGAAUACAUUAGCAUGCAAAAAGAAGAUAGGACAUCAGUUCUAUCUGGUUGGCUUCUAGAGCUGAGGUAAUGAUAAAUAGGGAUAGCUGGGGGCAUUCGUAUUUAAUUGUCAGAGGUAAAAUUCUUGAAGUUGUUAAAGGCGGACUACUGCGAAAGCAUUUGCCAAGGAUGUUUUCAUUG